CUGUGAGCUCGAUGAGUAGGGCGGGACACGUGGUAUCCUGUCUGAAUAUGGGGGGACCAUCCUCCAAGGCUAAAUACUCCUGACUGACCGAUAGUGAACCAGUACCGUGAGGGAAAGGCGAAAAGAACCCCGGCGAGGGGAGUGAAAAAGAACCUGAAACCGUGUACGUACAAGCAGUGGGAGCACAGAGCAAUCUGUGUGACUGCGUACCUUUUGUAUAAUGGGUCAGCGACUUAUAUUCUGUAGCAAGGUUAACCGAAUAGGGGAGCCGAAGGGAAACCGAGUCUUAACUGGGCGUUAAGUUGCAGGGUAUAGACCCGAAACCCGGUGAUCUAGCCAUGGGCAGGUUGAAGGUUGGGUAACACUAACUGGAGGACCGAACCGACUAAUGUUGAAAAAUUAGCGGAUGACUUGUGGCUGGGGGUGAAAGGCCAAUCAAACCGGGAGAUAGCUGGUUCUCCCCGAAAGCUAUUUAGGUAGCGCCUCGUGAAUUCAUCUCCGGGGGUAGAGCACUGUUUCGGCAAGGGGGUCAUCCCGACUUACCAACCCGAUGCAAACUGCGAAUACCGGAGAAUGUUAUCACGGGAGACACACGGCGGGUGCUAACGUCCGUCGUGAAGAGGGAAACAACCCAGACCGCCAGCUAAGGUCCCAAAGUCAUGGUUAAGUGGGAAACGAUGUGGGAAGGCCCAGACAGCCAGGAUGUUGGCUUAGAAGCAGCCAUCAUUUAAAGAAAGCGUAAUAGCUCACUGGUCGAGUCGGCCUGCGCGGAAGAUGUAACGGGGCUAAACCAUGCACCGAAGCUGCGGCAGCGACGCUUAUGCGUUGUUGGGUAGGGGAGCGUUCUGUAAGCCUGUGAAGGUGUACUGUGAGGUAUGCUGGAGGUAUCAGAAGUGCGAAUGCUGACAUAAGUAACGAUAAAGCGGGUGAAAAGCCCGCUCGCCGGAAGACCAAGGGUUCCUGUCCAACGUUAAUCGGGGCAGGGUGAGUCGACCCCUAAGGCGAGGCCGAAAGGCGUAGUCGAUGGGAAACAGGUUAAUAUUCCUGUACUUGGUGUUACUGCGAAGGGGGGACGGAGAAGGCUAUGUUGGCCGGGCGACGGUUGUCCCGGUUUAAGCGUGUAGGCUGGUUUUCCAGGCAAAUCCGGAAAAUCAAGGCUGAGGCGUGAUGACGAGGCACUACGGUGCUGAAGCAACAAAUGCCCUGCUUCCAGGAAAAGCCUCUAAGCAUCAGGUAACAUCAAAUCGUACCCCAAACCGACACAGGUGGUCAGGUAGAGAAUACCAAGGCGCUUGAGAGAACUCGGGUGAAGGAACUAGGCAAAAUGGUGCCGUAACUUCGGGAGAAGGCACGCUGAUAUGUAGGUGAAGUCCCUCGCGGAUGGAGCUGAAAUCAGUCGAAGAUACCAGCUGGCUGCAACUGUUUAUUAAAAACACAGCACUGUGCAAACACGAAAGUGGACGUAUACGGUGUGACGCCUGCCCGGUGCCGGAAGGUUAAUUGAUGGGGUUAGCGCAAGCGAAGCUCUUGAUCGAAGCCCCGGUAAACGGCGGCCGUAACUAUAACGGUCCUAAGGUAGCGAAAUUCCUUGUCGGGUAAGUUCCGACCUGCACGAAUGGCGUAAUGAUGGCCAGGCUGUCUCCACCCGAGACUCAGUGAAAUUGAACUCGCUGUGAAGAUGCAGUGUACCCGCGGCAAGACGGAAAGACCCCGUGAACCUUUACUAUAGCUUGACACUGAACAUUGAGCCUUGAUGUGUAGGAUAGGUGGGAGGCUUUGAAGUGUGGACGCCAGUCUGCAUGGAGCCGACCUUGAAAUACCACCCUUUAAUGUUUGAUGUUCUAACGUUGACCCGUAAUCCGGGUUGCGGACAGUGUCUGGUGGGUAGUUUGACUGGGGCGGUCUCCUCCUAAAGAGUAACGGAGGAGCACGAAGGUUGGCUAAUCCUGGUCGGACAUCAGGAGGUUAGUGCAAUGGCAUAAGCCAGCUUGACUGCGAGCGUGACGGCGCGAGCAGGUGCGAAAGCAGGUCAUAGUGAUCCGGUGGUUCUGAAUGGAAGGGCCAUCGCUCAACGGAUAAAAGGUACUCCGGGGAUAACAGGCUGAUACCGCCCAAGAGUUCAUAUCGACGGCGGUGUUUGGCACCUCGAUGUCGGCUCAUCACAUCCUGGGGCUGAAGUAGGUCCCAAGGGUAUGGCUGUUCGCCAUUUAAAGUGGUACGCGAGCUGGGUUUAGAACGUCGUGAGACAGUUCGGUCCCUAUCUGCCGUGGGCGCUGGAGAACUGAGGGGGGCUGCUCCUAGUACGAGAGGACCGGAGUGGACGCAUCACUGGUGUUCGGGUUGUCAUGCCAAUGGCACUGCCCGGUAGCUAAAUGCGGAAGAGAUAAGUGCUGAAAGCAUCUAAGCACGAAACUUGCCCCGAGAUGAGUUCUCCCUGACUCCUUGAGAGUCCUGAAGGAACGUUGAAGACGACGACGUUGAUAGGCCGGGUGUGUAAGCGCAGCGAUGCGUUGAGCUAACCGGUACUAAUGAACCGUGAGGCUUAACCUU
This 2550-nucleotide ribosomal RNA is filed under the name Escherichia coli KTE91. RNAcentral describes it as "bacterial LSU rRNA". It matches the Rfam family "Bacterial large subunit ribosomal RNA", at positions 397 to 2925 of the family's 2925-position model. Lineage: Bacteria; Pseudomonadati; Pseudomonadota; Gammaproteobacteria; Enterobacterales; Enterobacteriaceae. The record is from RNAcentral.